UACGUAGGGACCAAGCGUUGUUCGGAUUUACUGGGCGUAAAGGGCGCGUAGGCGGCGCGGUAAGUCACUUGUGAAAUCUCUGAGCUUAACUCAGAACGGCCAAGUGAUACUGCAGUGCUAGAGUGUGGAAGGGGCAAUCGGAAUUCUUGGUGUAGCGGUGAAAUGCGUAGAUAUCAAGAGGAACACCUGAGGUGAAGACGGGUUGCUGGGCCAACACUGACGCUGAUGCGCGAAAGCAUGGGGAGCGAACAGG
This 253-nucleotide ribosomal RNA is filed under the name uncultured bacterium. RNAcentral's name for it is "partial 16S ribosomal RNA". It matches the Rfam family "Bacterial small subunit ribosomal RNA", at positions 524 to 776 of the family's 1533-position model. The record is from RNAcentral.